GGCGUCGAGCGGCGGACGGGUGAGUAAUGCCUAGGAAAUUGCCCUGAUGUGGGGGAUAACCAUUGGAAACGAUGGCUAAUACCGCAUGAUGCCUACGGGCCAAAGAGGGGGACCUUCGGGCCUCUCGCGUCAGGAUAUGCCUAGGUGGGAUUAGCUAGUUGGUGAGGUAAGGGCUCACCAAGGCGACGAUCCCUAGCUGGUCUGAGAGGAUGAUCAGCCACACUGGAACUGAGACACGGUCCAGACUCCUACGGGAGGCAGCAGUGGGGAAUAUUGCACAAUGGGCGCAAGCCUGAUGCAGCCAUGCCGCGUGUGUGAAGAAGGCCUUCGGGUUGUAAAGCACUUUCAGUCGUGAGGAAGGUAGUGUAGUUAAUAGCUGCAUUAUUUGACGUUAGCGACAGAAGAAGCACCGGCUAACUCCGUGCCAGCAGCCGCGGUAAUACGGAGGGUGCGAGCGUUAAUCGGAAUUACUGGGCGUAAAGCGCAUGCAGGUGGUUUGUUAAGUCAGAUGUGAAAGCCCGGGGCUCAACCUCGGAAUAGCAUUUGAAACUGGCAGACUAGAGUACUGUAGAGGGGGGUAGAAUUUCAGGUGUAGCGGUGAAAUGCGUAGAGAUCUGAAGGAAUACCGGUGGCGAAGGCGGCCCCCUGGACAGAUACUGACACUCAGAUGCGAAAGCGUGGGGAGCAAACAGGAUUAGAUACCCUGGUAGUCCACGCCGUAAACGAUGUCUACUUGGAGGUUGUGGCCUUGAGCCGUGGCUUUCGGAGCUAACGCGUUAAGUAGACCGCCUGGGGAGUACGGUCGCAAGAUUAAAACUCAAAUGAAUUGACGGGGGCCCGCACAAGCGGUGGAGCAUGUGGUUUAAUUCGAUGCAACGCGAAGAACCUUACCUACUCUUGACAUCCAGAGAACUUUCCAGAGAUGGAUUGGUGCCUUCGGGAACUCUGAGACAGGUGCUGCAUGGCUGUCGUCAGCUCGUGUUGUGAAAUGUUGGGUUAAGUCCCGCAACGAGCGCAACCCUUAUCCUUGUUUGCCAGCGAGUAAUGUCGGGAACUCCAGGGAGACUGCCGGUGAUAAACCGGAGGAAGGUGGGGACGACGUCAAGUCAUCAUGGCCCUUACGAGUAGGGCUACACACGUGCUACAAUGGCGCAUACAGAGGGCGGCCAACUUGCGAAAGUGAGCGAAUCCCAAAAAGUGCGUCGUAGUCCGGAUUGGAGUCUGCAACUCGACUCCAUGAAGUCGGAAUCGCUAGUAAUCGUGGAUCAGAAUGCCACGGUGAAUACGUUCCCGGGCCUUGUACACACCGCCCGUCACACCAUGGGAGUGGGCUGCAAAAGAAGUAGGUAGUUUAACCUUCGGGGGGACGCUUACCACUUUGUGGUUCAUGACUGGGGUGAAGUCGUAACAAGGUAGCGCUAGGGGAACCUGGCGCUGGAUCACCUCCUUA
This 1450-nucleotide ribosomal RNA is filed under the name Vibrio alginolyticus. Its description in RNAcentral is "bacterial SSU rRNA". It matches the Rfam family "Bacterial small subunit ribosomal RNA". Lineage: Bacteria; Pseudomonadati; Pseudomonadota; Gammaproteobacteria; Vibrionales; Vibrionaceae. The record is from RNAcentral.